RNAcentral lists this ribosomal RNA (494 nucleotides) under uncultured bacterium. RNAcentral's name for it is "partial 16S ribosomal RNA". It matches the Rfam family "Bacterial small subunit ribosomal RNA", at positions 28 to 507 of the family's 1533-position model. The record is from RNAcentral.
GACGAACGCUGGCGGCGUGCUUAACACAUGCAAGUCGAACGGUGAAGCGCCUUCCUUUUUGGUGGGUGUGGUUGAGUGGCGAACGGGUGAGUAACACGUGAGUAACCUGCCCCCUUCUUCUGGAUAACCGCAUGAAAGUGUGGCUAAUACGGGAGAUUCUGGGUCUGUCGCAUGAUGGGUCUGGGAAAGAUAUUGUUUCGGUUGGGGAUGGGCUCGCGGCCUAUCAGCUUGUUGGUGGGGUGAUGGCCUACCAAGGCGGUGACGGGUAGCAGGCCUGAGAGGGUGGGCGGUCACACUGGGACUGAGACCCGGCCCAGACUCCUACGGGAGGCAGCAGUGGGGAAUAUUGCACAAUGGGCGAAAGCCUGAUGCAGCGACGCCGCGUGAGGGAUGGAGGCCUGCGGGUUGUGAACCUCUUUCGCCAGUGAAGCAGGCCUGCCUCGUUUGUGGGUGGGUUGACGGUAGCUGGAUAAGAAGCGCCGGCUAACUACGUG